ACUACGGGUGGCAGCAGUGAGGAAUAUUGGUCAAUGGGCGGAAGCCUGAACCAGCCAAGUAGCGUGCAGGAUGACGGCCCUACGGGUUGUAAACUGCUUUUAUACGGGAAUAACGCGCCUUACGUGUAGGGCUUUGCAUGUACCGUAUGAAUAAGGACCGGCUAAUUCCGUGCCAGCAGCCGCGGUAAUACGGAGGGUCCGGGCGUUAUCCGGAUUUAUUGGGUUUAAAGGGAGCGUAGGCCGCAUGUCAAGCGUGCUGUGAAAUGUUCGGGGUCAACCCGGGCCUUGCAGCGCGAACUGGCGUGCUUGAGUCCGCGGAAGGCAGGCGGAAUUCGUCGUGUAGCGGUGAAAUGCUUAGAUAUGACGAAGAACCCCGAUUGCGAAGGCAGCUUGCUGCAGCGGAACUGACGUUGAUGCUCGAAAGCGCGGGUAUCGAACAGGAUUAGAUACCCUUGUAGUC
Molecule: ribosomal RNA, 460 nt
Filed under: uncultured bacterium
Lineage: Bacteria
Description: partial 16S ribosomal RNA
Rfam family: Bacterial small subunit ribosomal RNA
Source: RNAcentral